This 385-nucleotide ribosomal RNA is filed under the name uncultured bacterium. RNAcentral's name for it is "bacterial SSU rRNA". It matches the Rfam family "Bacterial small subunit ribosomal RNA", at positions 28 to 406 of the family's 1533-position model. The record is from RNAcentral.
GACGAACGCUGGCGGCGCGCUUAACACAUGCAAGUCGAGCGAGAACCAGGCCUUCGGGCCUGGGACAGCGGCGAACGGGUGAGUAACACGUGGGUAAUCAACCCUCGAUACUGGGAUAGCCCGGGGAAACCCGGAUUAAUACCGGAUGGCCCUUUGGAUCCUCGGAUCUGAAGGAAAAGGUAGCUUCGGCCUCCGAUCGAGGACGAGCCCGCGGCGGAUUAGCUUGUUGGUGAGGUAACGGCUCACCAAGGCGACGAUCCGUAGCUGGUCUGAGAGGACGAUCAGCCACACUGGGACUGAGACACGGCCCAGACUCCUACGGGAGGCAGCAGUGGGGAAUCUUGCGCUAAUGCGGGAAACCGUGACGCAGCGACGCCGCGUGGGG